Molecule: non-coding RNA, 429 nt
Organism: Haemorhous mexicanus (house finch)
Lineage: Eukaryota; Metazoa; Chordata; Aves; Passeriformes; Fringillidae
Source: the annotation of a RefSeq genome assembly
CUCCGGGCGGCCGUGACCCUGCUGGAGUGCGGGGGGCACCUCCAGCCCCCCGGGGGGUCCCUGCGCCUCCUCUGCCGAGGGUCCGGGUUCGAUUUCGGGAGUUUUGGGUUGCAAUGGAUCCGCCAGAAACCCGGGCAGGGGCUGGAGUGGGUCGCAGGGAUCAGCAGCAGUGGUUCCAGCACCUACUACGCGCCAUCGGUCAAGGGCCGGGUCAGGAUCUCCAGGGACAACGGGCAGAGCUCGGUGACGCUGACCAUGACCGACCUCCGGGACGGGGAUUCCGGAUCCUAUUUCUGUGCCAAGGCUGCUGUGGCUGGUUGGGGUGCUGAUACUGCUGGUCUUACUCUCACCCGCCCAGCCCAAACCACAACUCCUGACCCCAAAUCUCCUCUUUCUGCCCCAAACUUUGCCCUGAAGGUCGGCAUUUGA